RNAcentral lists this unclassified non-coding RNA (520 nucleotides) under uncultured Diversispora. RNAcentral's name for it is "SSU rRNA". It matches the Rfam family "Eukaryotic small subunit ribosomal RNA", at positions 569 to 1087 of the family's 1831-position model. The record is from RNAcentral. Lineage: Eukaryota; Fungi; Glomeromycota; Glomeromycetes; Diversisporales; Diversisporaceae.
AGCAGCCGCGGUAAUUCCAGCUCCAAUAGCGUAUAUUAAAGUUGUUGCAGUUAAAAAGCUCGUAGUUGAACUUCGGGGUCUACCCAUUGGUCAGGCUUAAUUGUCUGCACUGGUGAGAUGGAUCUCUACCUUCUGAGGAACUUUCAUGCCAUUUAUUUGGUGUGAUGGGAAAUCAGGACUGUUACUUUGAAAAAAUUAGAGUGUUUAAAGCAGACUAUCGUCUGAAUACAUUAGCAUGGAAUAAUGAAAUAGGACGGACUGAUUCUAUUUCGUUGGUUUCUAGGAUCACCGUAAUGAUUAAUAGGGAUAGUUGGGGGCAUUAGUAUUCAAUUGUCAGAGGUGAAAUUCUUGGAUUUAUUGAAGACUAACUACUGCGAAAGCAUUUUGCCAAGGAUGUUUUCAUUAAUCAAGAACGAAAGUUAGGGGAUCGAAGACGAUCAGAUACCGUCGUAGUCUUAACCAUAAACUAUGCCGACUAGGGAUCGGACGAAGUUAAUUUUAUAAUGACGCGUUCGGCACC